Long non-coding RNA from Sorghum bicolor (sorghum), 2877 nucleotides. RefSeq lists it as uncharacterized. Lineage: Eukaryota; Viridiplantae; Streptophyta; Magnoliopsida; Poales; Poaceae. The transcript has 6 exons. The record is from RefSeq and is a predicted model, not a curated record.
UCUGAGGUCGAGCUUCUGCUACGCGCUUCGACGGACCGACCGCACCGUGCGUCAGCGCGUGCGCCCCGCGGAGGUCCCUGGCCAUGGCGAACGCCGAACGGCGAAAGCCAACGGCAACACGCGGCGCAAGUCGCGACCUCGCGGCCAUGGCGAAUUGGCGAUGCGUGUCCUCCGCCUCCCAGAAGGCUGCCAUGGCAUGGGGCGUGGCACAAAACAGAUUUGCCCGUUCGUGUUUGCUUGUACUAGCUUCUGCAGGCCACGGAGUAUGUUAUUUUUAGCUCUGUUCCAGGAAAAUGUGAGACUGUUCGGCAAAGUUGAGUCGCAGUGAUAUAGAGGAGUCUCAAGUAUACUUCCUUUUUCAGUGAGGUUAAGGAUCAAUGUCCUUGGGAAGUCGUUGCUGUUGAGAUUUGAAAUAACAAGUCUGGGACCACUAACCCAGUACUAUGCGAUUGACUUCAUUUGUCUAGACUCAUCUUGUUCGUUUGGUUGGAUGUUAACUUGUUGACUGGAAGGUAGUUGCUUAGCUCUGUUGUUCGGCGCUGAAACUUGUAAGCUGGAAUCUCCAGCAUUGUUGUUGUGUCAGAGUCUGUACAAACUUAUAUAUUAACUUUCUAUAAAAGCUGAAUUACCUAUGAAAAAAGGACAAAAAUUUUGGUCAUGAUGAGAGGAAAGAGUCAGCACAUGAAGAUAAAUAUAAAGACGUAGAAGAAUGUAAAGGAUGAAUAAAAAAAUAAAAUAUUAUAUAUGAUUCAACUCCAACAAAUGUUGCAAAACAGAUUUGUGAAAGGACAAAGCAAAUGAUUGCAAAUAUGUUCAUAGAUGACAAUGAUACUAUAAACACGAUAACGAUGAUGAAAUAGAGAAGCAUUUGACUCAUCAACGUAUUUCAAAGAGAGAAGUACCAAAUAUUGCAGCCUACCUUCUUUGAGGUAUCACUUCUUGGAGAUUAAGUAUCGUUGCAGCCUGUUACAGAGAAAAGCUCAUUCUUUGUCCAUUUCGUUGUAACAGUAACUAUCGUUGCUAAGUCCCAUUGCCACAACCAAAAUAGCUACCUGAUGAAGAAUCCUUGGCUUUAGUGCAGCGUGCACAAAUUACUCAUAGAGCUUGGAGCAACGCAAAGCACAUACCAUGGAGUGGAGGCUCUACUGGAUGUGGCUUUUUUUACCCUGCCAGUUUCAGGAUUCUAUUUUAGUAAUUUAGAAUAAGUAUCAAGAUUGCUAGUGGUGGUGCGACACUGGUAGAAUAAUUUGAGAUUGUAGCCAGAUACCAGUUGUCAGAAUAUCUGGACCAGUCAGGAUCACACAUUCUAAUAAGUUAUUUCUUUCUAACAAAGAUAGCUUGUGCACACUUGUACCUGUUAGUAUUGAAGCAAAAAAGAAGAAAUACAGAGAUGCACAAUGCAGUAACAUUGGAAAGGGCCUGGGGACUCUAAUUUUUUAACGUUUCUGUGUGUUCUGCCUCUCUUUGUUGAUAGUUAACCCAAGAACAAAGAGAAUAUGUAUAAGGAAAAAAAGAUAUGACAAUGAUGGACAUAUUUUUCCUCUUUUAGAAAACCGGAAAGGUCAUAUGAUUCCCCAUUCUCCAAAUAAAGUUAUUCAUUUCAAAGUGUUCUAUCAGAAAUCGUACCUGUGAUUGCUAUGUUGCCAACUUGCCGCACAAUCUAGAAGUUUGGUACUUUAUCUUUUAUUUUUUAGAAAAUGACUAAUGUAUUUUCAGAAUAUUACUGAUACUGCAGUAGAAGUAUAAGACAGGGUCUUCCUUUAAAAGCCUUUGCUCAUGUAAUAAUUUUUUCCACUAUUGUUAUAUUUCUUGUUAAUAGAUAGUUGCAGAGUUAUAAAGGCUUUUCAUAUCAAACAACAUACAUGGGUAGUUGGGUACACACCAUAUAUCUCAAUUCAUAAAAGGCAAGCCAGAAGUAUGAAAAUAACCACCCAUCCCUAAAAUGCUUUGUUGUUGUUGUCAGUAAUAAAAAAACGAACUUGUCACCAAACCCCUAUUUAGUCUGACAAAUUUGCAAAAGGACUUGUACAUAACUUUUAUUUGUGAAUGGACUCUGUUUCUAAUCAAAUUGGUUAUGCAUAGUGGAGCUUUUUCUCCUUACAAAGUAGCAGAGUUAAGGUACUUUUAGUUUCUUCCCUGAUCUGCAAAUCUGGCACAGAAAUUUCUUUAAUAUUUAUUAUAAUUAUUGUUGUUUUCUUUGUUGGCUAACAUUAUGCAAGAAUGUCAAGCAUUCAGCCCUGAAAUAAGUGGCUGUGGUUCCUCCCUUCAUCCUACCCAUAUGGAACUGGGGCCGACUUCUGAACCGCUAAAGCAUCUAUCCCACUAGGCCAGUACUCACCAUGCUUGAUGAUAAACCUGCAGAUUUCUGGUCAGAUUCUGCAGCUCCGCGGCUCUCCAAUCUCCAUGCGCAGAGGAAACAUAUCUACAUCGUUGAAAGAUCUCGCCUUGACUCGUCCCUGAGUAGGAGGAGUAUAUCCGGCUGUAAAGGACAGGACAGGACGCGGCAAGGUUUGAGUUGUGCAGUGGGCGCGGCCAAGUUGCCCCUGUGCUUGUGCAUAGAUAGAUUCGGGCCAAUCAGUCUGUUGUUUGGACGUGCAUCUGUCCCCAUUAAGGGGCAGAUCACGAGGGGAGAGGCGCGAGCAACAAGUCGCCCAGCUGAUUUUGGACGCACGCUGUUGGGGGCGUAUGGGUAUGGGCUCCGUCAUGCUGCCGGAAGAGCCGUCGCCCUCCGGAUUCGUUUCACUGUACUGUACCUGCUGGUCGUAAGUCGUAAACAGAGGAUAGGAUAGAUGGAGGCCGGCCUUGUUUAGAUCGAAUUUUUUUUAGAAACAUUAUCCAAUUAUGGAGCAACUAGGCUUAAAAGUUUCGUCUCGUGAU